This 823-nucleotide ribosomal RNA is filed under the name uncultured bacterium. Its description in RNAcentral is "bacterial SSU rRNA". It matches the Rfam family "Bacterial small subunit ribosomal RNA", at positions 57 to 875 of the family's 1533-position model. The record is from RNAcentral.
GCAAGUCGAGGGGCAGCAUAGAAGUAGCAAUACUUUGGUGGCGACCGGCGCACGGGUGAGUAACGCGUAUGCAACCUACCUAUCAGAGGGGAAUAACCCGGCGAAAGUCGGACUAAUACCGCAUAAAACAGGGGCACCGCAUGGUGAUAUUUGUUAAAGAAAUUCGCUGAUAGAUGGGCAUGCGUUCCAUUAGGUUGUUGGUGAGGUAACGGCUCACCAAGCCGACGAUGGAUAGGGGAACUGAGAGGUUGGUCCCCCACACUGGUACUGAGACACGGACCAGACUCCUACGGGAGGCAGCAGUGAGGAAUAUUGGUCAAUGGGCGGGAGCCUGAACCAGCCAAGUCGCGUGAAGGAAGAAGGAUCUAUGGUUCGUAAACUUCUUUUGCAGGGGAAUAAAGUGCAGGACGUGUCCUGUUUUGUAUGUACCCUGAGAAUAAGGAUCGGCUAACUCCGUGCCAGCAGCCGCGGUAAUACGGAGGAUCCGAGCGUUAUCCGGAUUUAUUGGGUUUAAAGGGUGCGUAGGUGGUUUGAUAAGUCAGCGGUGAAAGUUUGCAGCUUAACUGUAAAAAUGCCGUUGAAACUGUCGGACUUGAGUGUAAAUGAGGUAGGCGGAAUGCGUGGUGUAGCGGUGAAAUGCAUAGAUAUCACGCAGAACUCCGAUUGCGAAGGCAGCUUACUAAGCUACAACUGACACUGAAGCACGAAAGCGUGGGGAUCAAACAGGAUUAGAUACCCUGGUAGUCCACGCAGUAAACGAUGAUUACUAGCUGUUUGCGAUACACAGUAAGCGGCACAGCGAAAGCGUUAAGUAAUCCACCUG